GCGAGUCAAAAUGAUCACAUUAAAGUACAUUUGUUUAAUUUUAAUUUUAUUAUUUAAUGGAAUUGUUGCCGAAAACUCAUGUAAAGUCAUCAGUUGCGUGAAUGAAGAUGAUGGAACGCAAAAUUGUUCUACUUUGGGUUGUGUAAAGUUCACUUUGCGAGCUGAAUCAAAAUGUUACACAAAAGAGGGAGAUCCGACUAUGCAAUAUCCUGAUUGCUGUCCUCAAGCUGUGUGUCCUGGAGAUGCAGAUUAUGUCGAACCCAAACAUCGAAAAAAAGCUUAAUAAAACUUUUAUUUUGAUUUUAAUUCUAAAAAUGAACUAAAUUUUGCUCCAUAUUUUAAUCUCAUUUUCAAAAAGGUCAUGUUUUACAUUUUAAAAAAUUAUUUGAUAAGAAACUUCUCUUCAAAUUUCAAAGAAGAGAAAUUAAUUUCUAUGUAUUUGCUAUAAAUUGAGAGAGCCGUCAAAACAAAUCAUUAGUUUAUUUUGAAAAAUCAAGAUGAUCGCAUUGAAAUACAUUUGUUUGUUAGUUAUUUUGUUCCUCAGUGGAAUAAUUUGUCCUGAUCCCUGUGUGCAACAUAUUUGCGAAACACAUGAAGAUGGAACUAAAACUUGUCAUGGAAAGGCUUGUGGUCAAAUGGCAGUUCUACCGCCUUGUUACUUGAAAGAAGAUUUGACAAAAGAAUAUCCUGAAUGUUGUCCCAAAGCAUUCUGUCCCGGAGAUGACGGCUAUGAAGGAGGAAAUAAACAUUAAUUAAAACUAAUUUUGUCUAAAUGCCUGAAAAUAAAUUAAUAUUUUGAAUUAAAAUUUAAAUUUUAUAGUCAUCGUAAGAUUCCUAAAAAAAACCUGAAAUGUUGAUUAUUUUUUUUUUAUUGAAAUUCACUGGAAAUGCGUUUUGAUAAGCAAAUUAUAAAAGCAAAACAGAAUUAAAAACUAAGUCAGUUCAAUUUUGAAAGUCAAGAUGAUCGCAUUGAAAUACAUUUGCUUGUUUUUGAUUUUAUUCCUCAGUGGGGUUUUUGGUUGUGGAACAUAUACUUGCGUUAAAAAUGAGGAUGGCUCGGAGUCUUGUUCUGGUUCGGGAUGUGGUGAAUUCCAAUUACCUCCUGGAUCAAAAUGUUACAAAAAAGAUGGAGAUCCAAAUUUGGAGUAUCCUAAGUGCUGUAGUUAUUCUGUAUGUCCUGGAGAUAAAGAAUACGUUGAGCCAAAACAUUGAUUAGUUUUAAUAAUUGCUUAACGAAUUGAUUAAAAUGAAAUAAAAUAUUUUACUUUGUCAAUUUGAUGUUUGUUUGUCAGUCCAAAAA
Molecule: long non-coding RNA, 1300 nt
Organism: Culicoides brevitarsis
Lineage: Eukaryota; Metazoa; Arthropoda; Insecta; Diptera; Ceratopogonidae
Exons: 4
Source: RefSeq, a predicted model, not a curated record